GAGAGGGCACAAGAUGAAAUUCACAGUAUCUUAUAAUCUAAUCUCAGAAGUGGCAUCUCAUUUCUUUUGUUCUAUUCUAUUCAAUAGAAACAAGUACCUGGGACCAGCUUACACUAUAGGAAAGAGAUUAUAUAAGGGUAUAAAUACCAAGAGGUAGAGAUCAUCAAGAGCCAUUCUGGUAGCAGCCACAAUAUCUUAUCCAGAAUAUUUCUUAUUCAGGCCUUCAAAUGUGCUGUCUUUUCUGGUCUAAUGGAAAUGAACCUUCCUUCCAUACAAUUUCUUCUCCUAAAUUGUACUCUGGCUCUCUUAUCAUAUACAAACUUCUAUGUUAGGUAUUUGUGUCUGUCUUGAUUCUUGGUAGGCUUUUAAACUCUGUGAAUGUUGGACUGUGAUGUAGACAUCAUUUCACCGCACACUCUGUAACCACCAAACCUUAGCAGCUUAUUCAGUAAGCACAUACUUGGCUCUUAAUGAGUAUUGCUUAAAUUGAUGAAUUGAAUUAGUAUUUUACCUUCUCUGUUGCUUAGCUAAGCAGAAGAAUUUGUCAUUUUUUUAAUUUAGUGACUGGUUCUAUUAAAAGUUACCUUUGUCUAUAUCAUUUUGUUAUACUAAAGCACAAAUGUAUAAGGUCAAAAAACAUUCUCAAGAUUUUGUUUAAACCACAGCCCUCAGUUGUGUAUAUUUAUCUCUUGUUUUCAUAUGCAAGAUUUCUCCUGAAAUGGGCAACAAUUACAAGAGUUUUUUUCCUCUUCUGAACUAAGAAAAUAAAUAUUUAAUUCACAAGUUUAGAAAAGUGAACCUGAAAAAUCACAGGGCUAGGUGGGUUAUGAGGCCCACUGGUACAUGAUAGUGUUGAAUGUGGAUUAGAAUGAACUCCGUGGAUUAGAAUCUCAGACCAUAGGCAAACAUUUACUUGUUUUAGAAUAAGCACAUUUGAGUCUGCAAUAAGUAUUACUGUUUUUAAGUUGAAAAUGUAAUUGGUUUCUAAUAAUAACCAUAUUGGCUAGCAUUAUUUCAAUCGUGUUUAAUGUUUUCCAAUGUCAUUUCAUGUCAGAUAUCUCUCUUGAUUCUUAGUAACAAUUUGGACAAGACAGCAAAUGCUAUUGUCCAAGUUUUCUAAAGAAGAAUCUGAAGUGAAAUGACAUCAAGAGACCUAUCAAGACCUGUAUCCAGGAAAAGGUUUAUAUGUGGAAGAGACUUGCCCUGUCUCAGGAAUUAGAGAAAGAACAAAUCAGUGUGAAGGAGAAUUGUCAGUAAAAUUACAAGAAAAGAUUGAGAUCAUAAUUGACCUUUGAGGAUAAUAAAAUUUAAAGACCAAAAGGAUGGACUUCACAGAAACAUGACCUUAGGUUGUUUUUGCAGUUGUAGUAACUGGUUAUAUGACCAACAAAAUAUGAAGAAUGGGUACAAAUUCUGAUAGUAAUGAUCAGUCACUUUGCAAAUAUAAAGUUACUAUUUACUACUGUA
This 1467-nucleotide long non-coding RNA is filed under the name Homo sapiens (human). RNAcentral describes it as "HSALNT0355543". Lineage: Eukaryota; Metazoa; Chordata; Mammalia; Primates; Hominidae. The record is from RNAcentral.